Molecule: ribosomal RNA, 478 nt
Filed under: uncultured bacterium
Lineage: Bacteria
Description: partial 16S ribosomal RNA
Rfam family: Bacterial small subunit ribosomal RNA
Source: RNAcentral
GACGAACGCUGGCGGCGUGCUUAACACAUGCAAGUCGAACGGGAUUUAGUAAACAGAAGCCUCGGUGGAAGAUUACUACUGAGAGUGGCGAACGGGUGAGUAACGCGUGAGCACCCUGCCUAUGACAGUGGGAUAGCCUCGGGAAACCGGGAUUAAUACCGCAUAAAAUCGUAGAAACACAUGUUUUAACGGUCAAAGAUUUAUCGGUCAUAGAUGGGCUCGCGUCUGAUUAGCUAGUUGGUGAGAUAACAGCCCACCAAGGCGACGAUCAGUAGCCGGUCUGAGAGGAUGAACGGCCACAUUGGAACUGAGACACGGUCCAAACUCCUACGGGAGGCAGCAGUGGGGAAUAUUGCACAAUGGGGGAAACCCUGAUGCAGCGACGCCGCGUGAACGAAGAAGGUAUUCGUAUCGUAAAGUUCUGUCCUAUGGGAAGAUAAUGACAGUACCAUAGAAGAAAGCUCCGGCUAAAUACGUG